GAGGUGUGCUCAGAGCAGGGGGCCUGAAGAAUGGCUCCUCUGUUUAUAACACACCCAACAGGAAUCUGGAGUCAUUGUGAUGAGAGGCAUGAAGCUUGUGGCCUCCCUACAAACAAAUGCUCUACAUGU
This 129-nucleotide small nucleolar RNA is filed under the name Aotus nancymaae (Ma's night monkey). Its description in RNAcentral is "Small nucleolar RNA SNORA11 (ENSANAG00000003970.1)". It matches the Rfam family "Small nucleolar RNA SNORA11". Rfam says of the family: U107 (SNORA11) is a member of the H/ACA class of snoRNAs that guide the sites of modification of uridines to pseudouridines. This snoRNA was identified by RT-PCR from blood cells and its expression confirmed by Northern blot analysis. There is no predicted target for this guide snRNA. RNAcentral also lists the same sequence under 1 other name. Lineage: Eukaryota; Metazoa; Chordata; Mammalia; Primates; Aotidae. The record is from Rfam by way of RNAcentral.